RNAcentral lists this ribosomal RNA (490 nucleotides) under uncultured bacterium. RNAcentral's name for it is "partial 16S ribosomal RNA". It matches the Rfam family "Bacterial small subunit ribosomal RNA", at positions 30 to 523 of the family's 1533-position model. The record is from RNAcentral.
AUUGAACGCUGGCGGCAGGCCUAACACAUGCAAGUCGAGCGGGGGUAGCAAUACCCUAGCGGCGAACGGGUGAGGAAUGCUUGGGAAUCUGCCUGGUAGUGGGGGAUAACGUUCCGAAAGGAACGCUAAUACCGCAUACGUCCUACGGGAGAAAGGGGGGGAUCUUCGGACCUCUCGCUAUCAGAUGAGCCCAAGCGGGAUUAGCUAGUUGGUGGGGUAAAGGCCCACCAAGGCGACGAUCCCUAGCUGGUCUGAGAGGAUGAUCAGCCACACGGGAACGGAGACCCGGUCCAGACUCCUACGGGAGGCAGCAGGGGGGAAUAUUGGACAAUGGGCGAAAGCCUGAUCCAGCCAUGACGCGUGUGUGAAGAAGGCCUUCGGGUUGUAAAGCACUUUAAGCGAGGAGGAAGGUUCGUUACUUAAUACGUAACGGAAUUGACGUUACUCGCAGAAUAAGCACCGGCUAACUCUGUGCCAGCAGCCGCGGUAA